Molecule: ribosomal RNA, 627 nt
Filed under: Globorotalia inflata
Lineage: Eukaryota; Foraminifera; Rotaliida; Globorotaliidae
Description: SSU rRNA
Rfam family: Eukaryotic small subunit ribosomal RNA (bases 1-342)
Source: RNAcentral
GUGGAGUGAUCUGUCUGCUUAAUUGCGUUUCACUAAGGGCCCAUAAAUUCAAGGUAUGUUAGCAAAUGCUGCUCUAUUGACCCCUAAUAGGCUUAACUGUCUUUAGCGCGUGUCUCUACGAGUUCUUUAAAGCACUGCGCAUGCUGUUGGGUCCUGAAAGCAACGAACGUGACCGCAACGUCUUGUUGCCUCUCUAUAAUACCUUCUUAUUUUUAAUAAGAGUAUUUACCUGAGGCUAUUUUAAAACUAGACGGACCGCUGUUUCUUUCUUAAACCAGAGGAAGGUUGCGGCAAUAACAGGUCUGUGAUGCCCUUAGAUGUUCCGGGCUGCACACGUGCUACAAUGAUCAGUACAGUGAGCAUCUCAAUUUUAUAACACCGUAUUAAGCGCUUGGGUCGUAAUUGUUAGGCCUUUUAGGUUUUUUCAAUUGCGUUUCUCCAAUGCGCACGGUAAAGCCUGCUUCGAGAGUAAGUGGGUAAUCCAUUGGAAGUAAUGAUUUCCUUAUUUUUAUAAACAGCACACCAAUAUACGGCAUUCAUUCCCGAGACGGCUUAGUUCCGACUUUGUGCGAAUGUAAUGUAUUCUUAUCCGUAUGUGCGAUUGUCAAUUCAUGGUGGGGACAGACC